GCAAGUCGAGGGGCAUUCCGAGGUAGAAAUACUUUGGUGGCGACCGGCGCAAGGGUGCGUAACGCGUAUUUACCCUACCUAUAACAGGGGCAUAACACUGAGAAAUUGGUACUAAUUCCCCAUAAUAUUCGGAGAGGCAUCUCUCCGGGUUGAAAACUCCGGUGGUUAUAGAUGGACAUGCGUUGUAUUAGCUAGUUGGUGAGGUAACGGCUCACCAAGGCAACGAUACAUAGGGGGACUGAGAGGUUAACC
RNAcentral lists this ribosomal RNA (252 nucleotides) under uncultured bacterium. RNAcentral's name for it is "partial 16S ribosomal RNA". It matches the Rfam family "Bacterial small subunit ribosomal RNA", at positions 57 to 305 of the family's 1533-position model. The record is from RNAcentral.